CCCUGUCAGUUAAGGACCUGGCCAGUCAGAACCCUGUCAGUUAAGGACCUGGUCAGUUGGAACCUUGUCAGUUAAGGGCCUGGUCAGUUGGAAGCUUGUCAGUUGGGCCCAGUCAAUGGGGGCCUGGUCAGUGGGGACAUGGUCAGUGGGGACACACACAGGGCCAGGGUGUGGGGAUGUCCAAUGCAGGGAGGAGGCGCAGACAGCAGGAAGGAGAGAAGAAAGGAAGGAGCUUCCGGAGUACGGAUGCCUACGACGUCACAACGCGUGGCGCCAUUUAUACUCCAUCGCCAUGUUCGCUGCUGCUUUCCCACGUGAUUCUCUACUCAACUGGCCCCAAAACCAUCCCUGUACUACCACGAAUAUCUGGCCGUGGCUCUUUGAUGGCAGUUUUUAUCCUGCCGUAGAAAUUAUCCUUGAACAGGAAAAAGUCCCCAACCCAACGUCUGGUCACUCGCCACUCUCAUCUGUCUUUAUAAAGAGCCACUUCCAAAUUCUGGGUUGCUUUUUGGAAAAGUAAUAUCUGUUGCGGUAAAAGACUGCAUCUGUGAUCUCAACUCUCUACUGGAACUGUAUAGAGGUGAUGCAUGGCAGCUAAGGCAGCCGAAGAACUCGCGUCCUGCGCUCCUGACCGCCAUCACCCCUGCAGUUCCAUCUUCCCUCCUCCCACAAGCCCCCUGCUCCUCAUGACUAUGAGCCUGACGCCUCGCCAAGCACAAAGGCCUCCCUUCCCGACUUGAAGAAGGUUGUGGCUCACAGUGAUGGAGCUCCUGCCCACGUGGGGACCCUAGGAGCCGUAGCGCUCCAGCUAUGCAGCUCUGCCCAGUGCACCUGGCUCAUCCACCAUCAAGAAGCUGCCAUCCCACUUGUCGUCCUAGUCAUCAUCACUGCCCUGGCUGGCCUGGUUGCCAUCAAGGAGUUGCCGGGACCAUGGCUGCAGGGCACCCCUAACGCCUGGAAAGCCCACACUGGCUGCUGGAAGGCAUUCUGUGGUGACACCUGCUGUGGCACCUGGAAAGCACUGAGAUGUGGCUUCAAGGAGGCAGCCACUGCACCAGGCAGAGCCUCGAAGCCUCUGGGUGGUAUGAUGGCCAUGACACAGUGGGCAGAGGCACCAGGGCAGCUGUGGGAUGUUGGACCUUUCCAGGGAAGUGGAUCAUUGCAGAUAGAAGUCCAGGGUUGCCGCGGCGAGACCCUGUGACUCAGCCCUUGAUGUCCUGCUCCCUACUCCGGCUCAGCGCUUCAUGUCCUCACAGUGAGAUCACUCUCAAAUUCUCCACCAUCGAGUGGUACAGUAGUGAAAUCCACAGUGCCACCAUCCCCCGCAUGGUCAUCCUGGUCACUGUGGGGGCACAUGGCACCUGUAGUUCCCCUCCCCUCCCAGGGCCCGGGUUGAGGCCGGGGACCUCUGGUCCUGGGAACUGUGCCCGCCCCAAGAGUGGGGCUCUGUCCCACAGGUUGGGCGAGAGGCCACAAGGCAUGCCACUGAUGGCCGGGGCCACAGGGGCACCACGCUCACCGCUCUCUGGGGAAGUCUCAGAGUGAACAGCUUUCCUGUUGACGAUGACUUCCCAAGACCCAAGAGCCAUCUGCGGCUGCGGAGUGGCUGGCCAGGUGCUGCCCGGCGAGAGGAGUCGGAUGCAGGUGCCAUUGUGUAGAGAAAUGUGUCCAGACUUGCCUCUUGGUUAUCAUGGGACACCAUAGCUCCCGGUGUCGGGGCCCUGAUGGAGCUGCCGAGCUGAUCCAGGGCAGAUGUUGAAGUGACAGAAGCUCAGCAUCCCUGUUCAAAGUUGUAGCACAGGAACCAUCAGGCCCUGAGGCCAUCCCCUGGAAAGCAUCCACUGGAAGCUUUGGCAUGGAAUUCCAGCACAGGUACCUUCAGGGAACUGGCAGGUCUAUUUCUAGAAGUGUAUCUAUGUAGAGGAGGAAGAGGUGUGGGAAGAAAUCCCAGUAGUGGGGCUGCAGGGACCCAGGCGCCCUCUAUUAUCAACUGUCCCAGGAGGUGACUCGGGGGGGACCUGGUGCUGUCCUGGGCUGGGCACGGCCUCACACUCUGAGCCCCGGAGGUUCCUAGAGAAUAACCUUCUGCCCUGGACUCUGCAGAAGCCCCCAAAUGCCUCUGAGGGCCUCCGCCUCAGGGACAGCCUGGCCAGGCCAGAGUGUAGGAGAACCAGGUGACCAGGCUCCAGUUCCAGAGGGGCCCCCUGCAUGGGCCACUGGAGCUGGGCCAGUGGGUAGGAGAGGGUUAGCCAAUCCCCCUUGGAGAGAGGCUUAAUGCUGGGAAACACCCAGAGAGGCCUGGGUGCUGGGGUCCCUCACUCAGGUUUGGCUGUACAGGAAAAAGGAAUACCCAACUUCUCCCCGAAGCCCAUCAGGUGUCCUUGCAGGGCCAGGCUCUGCAGAUCUGGGUCUCUGGAGGCCUUGGGGUCUCUCUGUGCUCUGCCUUAGAUACCGAGGACACCCCUGCAGGCUGCGGAUCCCAGAGCAAGGGGUGUGUGCAGCCAGCGGGCGUAUCCUCCAGGAUGGUAACACAGGGCUUGGGGCUGGCUCAGGGCUUCCUGCCUCACGUCCUCAUGCCAGAGCUGUGUGGCCUGGGAUGCAGCCGUGAUUCGGGGCUCGGGUGGAAACAGGCUCUCACUUUCACAUGACCCCCUUGCCACCUCACACAGGGGCCUGUGUCCCCAGUGGGUGAGACUGUGGAGUCUCCUGGGCACGGGUCCCCCUCUGCUCUCCGGGGCCGUCCACUCCAUGCCAGGACUGGGCCAUUUCCAUGCCCAGCUGGACUCUUGGUUCUGGCUCUGGGCUGGGGCUCCUGCCAGGAUCUUCUCCCCAAAUCCUCUGGAUCAGAAACACUGAUUCUCUUGUUCCCCUGGCAUUCUUGGAGGGGCACUCUGGAGCGAGGGGCACCUGCUCCUCCGGGCAUCUGUGGAUGCUCACAGGCAGGGCAGGGAGCUCACACCGAGUGGGGAGAAAGUGUAAAGAGUGCAGGGCGCGCAGAGGGGUCUUUCUCCAGCCCCUUCCUGUCUGAGCAGCAUGUCCAGUACACAUGCGCUCAGCACCUGACCAGAAGACUAGGCAGGUGUAUUUCUAGAAGUUUCUCUAGACGAGGAGUAGGUGCGUGAGGAAGGUCCAGGUAGUGGUGCUGCAGGGGACUCGGGCCCUCUCUACUUUGGAGCACCCCAGAGAGUGACUCGGGAGGGGACCUGGUACUGGAGCCUCCCCGGGCAUGGCAGGUCCUAGCGCCUCCUUAUGAGUUCUUUCAGAGAGACUUGAAGGUGCCUGAGAAUAACAGUGUCCUUUAGGGCCCAGGCCUGGGAGAACUGCUCCUGAACCGAUUUCCACAGGCUGGACUGGGCAGGUUCACCAGGCACUCCAGGGACAGUGGGGGCAGCCUGGAAGGAGUCGGAGCCCACACCCAGUUUACACCAUAGCUACCUCCCACUCGGAGGUGCUGGGUCCUUUCGCAGCUGGGUCCUCGUGGCGUCCAGCUGGGCACAGGCCAGGGCCAGAAGGAAGCCUGGGUGAGGAGGUGCCCACCACACUCCUGCCUUUGAUCUGGGUCUUGUCGAGGUGGGCUCCCUGUCUGGGAGGACGCGGUGUCCUUCCCAGCACAACAGGCCUGGUCUGACCCUCCAGACUGAAGCAGAGGAUCGUGGGGACAGUGUGAGGGCACUCUCCUCAGGCCAGGCAGGCUCUGUCCUGGGCGCCCACCCCACGGAGCCGCUGUGAGUAUGAACAGGAGGACCGUCUACCCAGUCAGCGCAGAGCGGGCCCUCAGUGAGCACUUGGGGAUGACCCUCCUUGGGAGUCGCCACCCACCAGAUAGCGACUGUCCCCAGGCCAGCAGGGAGAGAAGAGAACAGGUCUCGCUCUCCUGAGUCUGAUCAUGCAGCUGCGCUGAGAUGCGCCUCUGGCCUAGAAAAGCAUCCUGUGGGCAGAACCACACACACCGCUGUGUCUCCAACUGCUGUACGACACAGAGCCCGGCGGGUACGUGGGCAUUCGGUAAUGGUGACAUUGUGGAGGUCACGGCGCCCCUCACAAUGGAGGGCCGAGGGGCGGCCUCCUCUGUCCCCUGAAGCAUUGACGCAUGUGCGUGAAAUUCGUAAUGUGUCUGUGUACUUGACCUUGCAGGUAGAUAUGGGUGUGCGCGCAUCUCUCCUCCGGCCAGGCCUGGCUGCCCCACUCGUGGGCCCCCAGGUCCUCAGCACUGUCACUCUGGAACCCAUGCUGAGCACCAGAGCAUCCACAGGUGCACCCCAGCCUCUGCCUUCAGACAUGGUGGUCCUGGGGAUGUAGGUAGGGCAGGGGGUCCCCCUGAGGGGGACCCGGUGUGUACAGUGCUAAAUCAGCAUAGCAGGGCCAUAUUCAAUGCACCUCACCUCCUCCUCCUGGUAGCUCUCUGGGGUACAGUGAUUCAUCCCCCCUACAAUGGAAGAAAGGAGGCUUCAAGGACAAACCCCCUGCCUGAGGGCACCCAGCAGCCAGCUGACCUGGUCCUGACUAGCUCCCCACUAACCAGGCCCCCACUCAAGAGGUCCUGUUGACUGAAACCCGACUGACCAUGUUCUGCUGACCAAUCCCUGCAGACUGGGUCCCCCCAAUAAGGCCCCAGUGACCAAGCCACCACUGACCAGGUCCCCAGUGACCCAUCUCCCCAGACCAAAACCCAUUUUCUUGAGUUACGUGGAGCUCACGAGGGUUCAAAGCUGAGCGGGGACAGGCUAAGCUUCACAAUCAGGACACUUUGAAUGUUUCCAGGGAUUUCCACAUCAUUCUCCAAGGUGAUGUUACCAAUUCGCUCUCCCAUCAUUAAGGCUCCCAUCAUUAAGGGCUUCUUCCUGCCUCCAAAACUGUUGGCAUUGCCGGACUUUUAUCUUGGGUAAUGGGUUUGAAAUGCCUCAUGGUGGCUUCCCAUCCCUCAUAACUGGUAAGGUUGGGUGCCCUUGUGUUUUCAUCCUGUGCCACCCAGGUGCCCGCCCCCACCUCUUUGCUGUCUCUGCUUCAUAAGAAGAUCUUGUUGCCCCGUCAACUCCAAGUGAUCACAGGUUCAGGGGUGCCCCCAAAAUGAGGUGCUUAGUGUUUGAUGAAUGACGUUGAGACCAGAACAGGUCAGGAGGCAGAUGGCCCUUGUGAACAGAAAGGGUUUCUUCCAAGUCUAGACAUGACCAGAGAGAAAAAGGGGAGAAGGGUAAGCCUGAUUUUGAAAGAUGAGAAUUGGACAUGAAGGAGGAGAGGGGGAAGAAUAAGCAGUUGACUAAAAUAUAUACGUGGUGAUUCCGUGCAUAUGAUCAAAACACGAUCAUGUGAUCAUGUACACUUCUCAAGCUCAAAUGGAAGAAGCACAAAUGGAAAUGACCCUCCUCGGGCAGCCACCCGCUACCAGAUAGCGACUGUCCCCUAGCAGGGAGGGAAGAGAACAGGUCUCACUCUUCUGAGUCUGAUCAUGCAGCUGCGCUGAGAUGAGCCUCUGGCCUAGAAAAGUGUCCUGUGGGCAGAACCGCACACACUGCUGUGUCUCCAACUGCUGUACGACACAGAGCCAGGCGGGUACUUGGGCACUUGGUAAUGCCCAUUCCUUAACAUAUAAGUUUCCCCAUUCCUCCCACAAAGCACAAAACCCUGGGCUGGACAUCGUACAUAAAAACGUGGGACUGGAUAGGAUUCCGCCUUUAAAAACUAGAAAGCUUGUGUUUACCACGCGGAUGAACCCGGAAGACGUUCAGUGAAAUAAGCCAGGCACAGAAAGACAAACACGGCCUGUCUCACUUGAAUCUAAAAAGCUGAACUCUCGGGAGCUGAGGGAGGGGAGGAGGGAUUAGACAGAUGCUGGUCAAAGGGCGCAGGAGGAAUUGUUCAACAGGGUGACUCUCAUGUAUUCUCGAAAAAUGCUGAGCAGGCUGGGCGCAGUGGCUCACACCUGUAAUCCUAGCACUCUGGGAGACCCAGGUGGAUCACUUGAGGCCAGGAGUUUGAGACCAGCUUGGGCAAUACAGAGACCUCAUUUUUUUUUAAUAUAUAAAAAAAUUGCUGAGCAGAUUUUAAGUGUUCUUCCCACAAAAAAAAAAUUAUGUAUGGUGACGGGUAUGUCAAGGACGUAUUAGCUUGAUAUGUGUAUUUUACACUGUAUUCCUAUGUCAAAACAUGUUCUAUGCAUAAUUACAAUUUUGUCAAAAUAAAAAGUGAGAAAUGGGAUCAAAAUAGAAAAUAAGACUGAGUGGUGGAGAGGAGAGAGACACACAGGGGAUUUCGGGACUCACGGAAUGACACAAAAGUGAGUUAUGUGGGUUUUUUCCGAGUCGAAAUCAGCCCAGACUUGGACCUGAAGAAGCUGAGAACCCGUGAACGCCACCAGGCACAGUCAAAAAAGCAUUUAAAAAAAAAAAAAAAAAAAAAAAAAAAAGCCCAAACAAAACCUGUUCGCUCUAGCCAAAGGACCAGGAGAGGGGGCAGCCCAGCGAGAUCCGGCACAUUUAGACAAUUACCGCUAACUAAGCCGGUCCUUGGCCUUGGGUUGAUUUUUCUGCUACCUCACUUUGGGGCCGGGCUGGUCCUCCACCCUCCCAGGAUGCGUUUCUCAAUCCAGACGCUGGGGGGCGCCGGUACAUCGCGAGCCCCGCGAGGGUCAUUCCUGGGACGCCGCGGAGUCUCCUCCCCUCCUAGGGACACAGAGCUUCCAAGGGCCGCGCUUGUAGGUUUUCAAGAGGUCGCCAAAAACAUUCAAGACCCAGAAGGAAAAAAACUGUAACAGCACACACUUCGAUGUUUGACCACGUAAAAGCAAGGCUACAAAAUCAAACACCUGAAGGGAAUGUCUACUUAGCUGGACAACCGUGUCCACCUGGAUUCAUUCACCGUUGGCUCCAGAACUCCCCCAACGGUGCCAGCCAUCAUGUUGGAAAAUCAUUUAUGGGUUGGAUCUUCUCUAUUGUGUGUGUGACAG
Long non-coding RNA from Callithrix jacchus (white-tufted-ear marmoset), 6943 nucleotides. RefSeq lists it as uncharacterized. Lineage: Eukaryota; Metazoa; Chordata; Mammalia; Primates; Cebidae. The record is from RefSeq and is a predicted model, not a curated record.